UUUUUUUUUUUUCAGGGAAGAAAAAAAUGCGGUAGCUAUGCUUCUAUUUUAAUUUACCAUAUGAAGGGAUUAAGAUUUGUAGAUUUCAAAAACAGUGCAGGCCAUAGCUUUAGUGACCUCAACUUUGCUUAAUUGCACCGCACUGAUCCCUUUGCCAAAAUACCCUUUUAGUUAUUAGUCAUGAUUCAUUGAGAAGCGUUGUUCAGAAAAUAACCUAAUACAUUAGUACGUUGUAUUUCACCAUGGAAAAAAAAUGAAAAGGUAAAGGGGGUUACAAGAAAAUUAUGGGCUACGGGAUUGGAAUUCUCAGAUUAAUAUCUGUAGGUGCUCUCUUUUGAACAACUGUAUCCAGUUCCACUCCCCGAAGGACUUCCGUGCUCGUAACCAUCAAGUAGGCGAUUCACCUGACUUCCUGUUCAAGCAGGUACAACUCAUACCAUUUUGAAGUUGCUUCAUUCAAAAUCAAAUAGCUUGCCCUCUUCAAAAUUCUAAACUACA
Molecule: long non-coding RNA, 498 nt
Filed under: Populus trichocarpa (black cottonwood)
Lineage: Eukaryota; Viridiplantae; Streptophyta; Magnoliopsida; Malpighiales; Salicaceae
Description: long non-coding RNA (PTRI_LNC001792)
Source: RNAcentral